RNAcentral lists this long non-coding RNA (830 nucleotides) under Polistes fuscatus (common paper wasp). RNAcentral describes it as "uncharacterized LOC122516000". The record is from RNAcentral. Lineage: Eukaryota; Metazoa; Arthropoda; Insecta; Hymenoptera; Vespidae.
UUCGAUUCGAAUUCUUCUGAUUGUAAUUCAUUAGACACGUAUUCGAGAUCAACAGGUUCCUAAAAAAUGAAUUAAUAUGAUUAUCAUUAAUCUACAGAAGAAAAAAUAUGAUACAUAAUUUAAACGAACUAUUAGUUCGUUAAAAUCAAUUAAAAAAUGAAGAGAGUUUUUAAUUAUAUAUUGGCAUAAACGACGACCGCCACUGGGUGGACGCUUGUCAGAUGGUGGUGGUCGUGGUGGACGACCGCCUGGUGGUGGGCGGGGUGGACGACCGCCUGGUGGUGGGCGGGGUGGACGUUUACCUGGAGGUGGUCGUGGUGGACGACCGCCUGGUGGUGGAGGUCUUGGAGGUUCAUCAGAGGGUGGUCGUGGGCGUUCGCCAGAAGGUGGUCGUGGUGGUCGACGUCCAUCAGAAGGUGGUCGAUAAUCAUCGUCAAAUUCCUCAACGUUGGAUUGUUCUAAUUCGUAGAUGACGGGCUCAUAUUUAAGAUCGAGAAGAUACUGAAAAAUGAAUUAAUAUGAUUAUUAUUUCUCUAUAGAAAAAUACAAUUCUCUAAAGAAAAAUAAAAGAAAAAAGAUUUUGAACAAAUUAUCAAUCUCUUGUAUUAUAUAGAAAGUGAAAACAAUUUUAGAUUGUAUGUUGAUUCUCCUGGAUCUUCAACUUCUACCUCUGAUACUGCCGAUUGUGUCGCAAUACAUAGUAUUGCUAAUAGUAAGGAAAUAAUAAACUUCCUCAUUGUUGAUCAAUCUUAAGAAGCCAUUUAAACUGAAAAAUAUUGUAAAACGGACAUGUUAAUUAAAAAGCACAAAUAAAAAAUUUGUAUAAUGUA